RNAcentral lists this ribosomal RNA (492 nucleotides) under uncultured bacterium. RNAcentral's name for it is "partial 16S ribosomal RNA". It matches the Rfam family "Bacterial small subunit ribosomal RNA", at positions 30 to 507 of the family's 1533-position model. The record is from RNAcentral.
AUUGAACGCUGGCGGCAUGCUUUACACAUGCAAGUCGAACGGUAACAGGCCUUCGGGUGCUGACGAGUGGCGAACGGGUGAGUAAUGCAUCGGAACGUGCCCAGAGGUGGGGGAUAACGCAGCGAAAGCUGUGCUAAUACCGCAUGUGAUCUGAGGAUGAAAGCGGGGGACCAGGCAGCAAUGUUUGGCCUCGCGCCUUUGGAGCGGCCGAUGUCAGAUUAGGUAGUUGGUGGGGUAAAGGCCUACCAAGCCGACGAUCUGUAGCUGGUCUGAAAGGACGACCAGCCACACUGGGACUGAGACACGGCCCAGACUCCUACGGGAGGCAGCAGUGGGGAAUUUUGGACAAUGGGCGCAAGCCUGAUCCAGCAAUGCCGCGUGCGGGAAGAAGGCCUUCGGGUUGUAAACCGCUUUUGUACGGAACGAAAAGGCUCUGGCUAAUACCUGGGGCUGAUGACGGUACCGUAAGAAUAAGCACCGGCUAACUACGUG